Molecule: long non-coding RNA, 206 nt
Filed under: Elaeis guineensis (African oil palm)
Lineage: Eukaryota; Viridiplantae; Streptophyta; Magnoliopsida; Arecales; Arecaceae
Description: long non-coding RNA (EGUI_LNC066728)
Source: RNAcentral
GUGUGGCAUCUUUCUGAACUCCCUCGAUCGUCCGAGCUUCCAUAAUACCAUCUGAACUUCUCCGACAAUGAGCUUCCUCAUUCAUCUACCAGACUGCUCCAAAUGCUCUCUGAACUUUGCUAUUAGCCGAUUUUCUAUGGUGACCGACUAUUCUCCGAAUCUCUUCCAAACUUCUUCCGAUCACGGACGACUCUACUCCGAACUUC